Molecule: ribosomal RNA, 494 nt
Filed under: uncultured bacterium
Lineage: Bacteria
Description: partial 16S ribosomal RNA
Rfam family: Bacterial small subunit ribosomal RNA
Source: RNAcentral
GACGAACGCUGGCGGCGUGCUUAACACAUGCAAGUCGAACGGAAAGGCCUGCUUUCCCUUGUGGAUUGCGGGUGCUCGAGUGGCGAACGGGUGAGUAACACGUGAGUGAUCUGCCCCCAACUUGGGUAUAAGCCUGGGAAACUGGGUCUAAUUCCCGAUAGGACUGCAGGGUGGUGCCUGUGGUGGAAAACGAUUUUCUAGUGGUUGGGGAUGAGCUCGCGGCCUAUCAGCUUGUUGGUGGGGUAAUGGCCUACCAAGGCGGCGACGGGUAGCCGGCCUGAGAGGGUGGACGGCGACAUUGAGACUGAGAUACGGCCCAGACUCCUACGGGAGGCAGCAGUGGGGAAUAUUGCACAAUGGGCGGAAGCCUGAUGCAGCGACGCCGCGUGGGGGAUGACGGCCUUCGGGUGGUAAACUCCUUUCGACCGAGAGGAAGCCACCUGGUUGGAAGGGUGGUGACGGUAGUGGUAGAAGAAGCACCGGCUAACUACGUG